UUAUCCAAGAGAGAAGGUGACAGGGAAAGU
Molecule: non-coding RNA, 30 nt
Filed under: Rattus norvegicus (Norway rat)
Lineage: Eukaryota; Metazoa; Chordata; Mammalia; Rodentia; Muridae
Source: RNAcentral